UACGGAGGAUCCAAGCGUUAUCCGGAUUCAUUGGGUUUAAAGGGUGCGUAGGCGGAAUGAUAAGUCAGUGGUGAAAGCCUGCAGCUUAACUGCAGAACUGCCGUUGAUACUGUCAAUCUUGAGUACAUUUGAUGUGGGCGGAAUGUGUCAUGUAGCGGUGAAAUGCUUAGAUAUGACACAGAACACCGAUUGCGAAGGCAGCUCACAAAACUGUAACUGACGCUGAGGCUCGAAAGUGCGGGGAUCAAACAGG
RNAcentral lists this ribosomal RNA (253 nucleotides) under uncultured bacterium. RNAcentral describes it as "partial 16S ribosomal RNA". It matches the Rfam family "Bacterial small subunit ribosomal RNA", at positions 524 to 776 of the family's 1533-position model. The record is from RNAcentral.